AUGUCCUCCUCGGCUCCCGUCGCCCUCAACCUUGGUGCGCCACCUGCCAAGAAGCUUACCAAGGGGAACUUUCUCCUAUGGAAGGCUCAAGUGAUGCCGGCCUUGCGAGGAGCGCAGGUCACCGGCCUCCUAGAUGGAACCGACGCAGCGCCCCCGAAGACGGAGGAGCAGCAGCAGUCGGACAAGACGACGGUCACGGUGCCCAAUCCCCUCUAUGCGCCAUGGCUGUCCAAAGAUCAGCAAGUUCUCAGCUAUCUCCUGAACUCUCUGUCGAAGGAAAUCCUCGCCCAAGUUGUGAGUAAAGAAAAUACCUUUGAUUUAUGGACUGCUAUCAUCACUAUGUUUGCCUCGCAGUCUCAAUCUCGAAUCACGAAUUUGAGAAUUGCUAUCACCACCACCAAGAAGGGCUCCAUGUCAAGCUCCUCCUACAUCGCCCGGAUGAAAAAUCUGGGGGAUGAACUUGCUGCAGCAGGCCGGCCUGUCUCCGAUCCAGAGAUGGUGGACUAUGUCCUUGCCGGCCUCGAUCGGGACUAUGAUCCGGUCGUGGCGGCGAUUGGCGCCGUCAAAACCUCCAUCACCGUCGACGAACUUUUUGCCCAGAUCGCUGCCUUCGAUCAACGGGUAGAGAUGCUAGGCGACGGUCCAGAAGCUGGCUUCAACACCUCCGUGAACCUAGUGUACAGGGGGCGUGGUCAGCCUCGUGGCAGAGGGCGCGGGCGCGGCAACAGAGGCCGCGGCCGAGGGAGACGCUCGCCCUCCUCCUCUUCUUCAAGCGGCGGCAACAAGAGAGGUGGUCAUCCCCAACAACAGCAGCAGCAACGUCCACAACACCGGGACUAUCCCGAGUGCCAAAUAUGCCUCAAGCAUCACCGCGGAGGAGCCCGUGAGUGUUGGGAUCGCUAUGAGGACGAUGAGUAUGAAGAAAAGGAGGCAAACAUCGUCACCGACUCCUACGGCGUCGACACAAACUGGUAUGCGGACUCCGGUGCCACUAAUCAUAUUACAGGAGAACUCAACAAGCUGACCGUCAGAGACAAGUACCGUGGACAUGACCAAGUGCACACGGCAAGUGGAUCUGGAUUUGGACACGAGGAGAAUACUUCUUAG
Molecule: ribosomal RNA, 1107 nt
Filed under: Triticum aestivum (bread wheat)
Lineage: Eukaryota; Viridiplantae; Streptophyta; Magnoliopsida; Poales; Poaceae
Description: partial small subunit ribosomal RNA
Source: RNAcentral